CUUGUAGCCACUUCCUAUUUAAGAUGCCCUGCUCUCCUGAUGGAAGUCUGUUACACAAUGUAUGAGAAAAGACAGAUUAACACUAAAAGCUCGCUGAAAGCUGGGAACUCUGGGAAGACCAUGACGGGGCUGCCGUUCAUCCCGCGGCCGCCUGGAGACGCGAGAGAGAAAUCAGACCCACCUGGCAGGAUGGCAAACUGUUUCUGCAGCUCGGAGCCGAUUUCUGCUGCAAACAGAGGAGGAUCCUCCCU
This is a non-coding RNA of Labrus bergylta (ballan wrasse), 251 nucleotides long. The record is from RefSeq and is a predicted model, not a curated record. NCBI's taxonomy places the organism in Eukaryota, Metazoa, Chordata, Actinopteri, Labriformes, Labridae.